UACGUAGGAGGCGAGCGUUAUCCGGAAUUAUUGGGCGUAAAGAGCGUGUAGGCGGUCUUACAAGUUGGAUGUGAAAUCUCCUGGCUUAACUGGGAGGGGUCAUCCAAUACUGUUGGGCUAGAGUAUAACAGAGGGAGACGGAAUUCCCGGUGGAGUGGUGAAAUGCUUAGAUAUCGGGAGGAACACCAGUGGCGAAGGCGGUCUCCUGGGUUAUUACUGACGCUAAGACGCAAAAGCGUGGGGAGCAAACAGG
This 253-nucleotide ribosomal RNA is filed under the name uncultured prokaryote. RNAcentral's name for it is "partial 16S ribosomal RNA". It matches the Rfam family "Bacterial small subunit ribosomal RNA", at positions 524 to 776 of the family's 1533-position model. The record is from RNAcentral.